This 253-nucleotide ribosomal RNA is filed under the name uncultured bacterium. RNAcentral describes it as "partial 16S ribosomal RNA". It matches the Rfam family "Bacterial small subunit ribosomal RNA", at positions 524 to 776 of the family's 1533-position model. The record is from RNAcentral.
UACGGGGGGGGCAAGCGUUGUUCGGAAUUACUGGGCGUAAAGGGCUUGUAGGCGGCCAACUAAGUCAGACGUGAAAUCCCUCGGCUUAACCGGGGAACUGCAUCUGAUACUGGAUGGCUUGAGUUCGGGAGAGGGAUGCGGAAUUCCAGGUGUAGCGGUGAAAUGCGUAGAUAUCUGGAGGAACACCGGUGGCGAAGGCGGCAUCCUGGACCGGCACUGACGCUGAGGAGCGAAAGCCAGGGGAGCAAACGGG